Molecule: unclassified non-coding RNA, 223 nt
Filed under: Hevea brasiliensis (rubber tree)
Lineage: Eukaryota; Viridiplantae; Streptophyta; Magnoliopsida; Malpighiales; Euphorbiaceae
Source: RNAcentral
CUGAAGAAUGUUGCCCAAUCUGCCUAAGUAGCUCUGUUGCAGUCCUUUGGUCACUGAUUGCCACAGCUUGUGCACACUGUGUUAGCAGAGUUGGCAAAUCCACCACUUCUCCUUUGUUUCCCUGUCUCCUUCCUCGCGUCGUUCUGCCAUUAGAUCCUUUACCCUGCCCAUUCCGGCUUGCUCCAUUCUGUGACUUUUCAUGAAGAGCACGUGCUUCAGACUU